GCGCCCAUAGAUCAAUUGGAUAGAUCGUUUGACUACGGAUCAAAAGGUUGAGGGUUCAAAUCCUUCUGGGCGCGCCA
RNAcentral lists this transfer RNA (77 nucleotides) under Spiroplasma poulsonii. Its description in RNAcentral is "tRNA-Arg". It matches the Rfam family "tRNA". Rfam says of the family: Transfer RNA (tRNA) molecules are approximately 80 nucleotides in length. Their secondary structure includes four short double-helical elements and three loops (D, anti-codon, and T loops). The record is from RNAcentral. Lineage: Bacteria; Bacillati; Mycoplasmatota; Mollicutes; Entomoplasmatales; Spiroplasmataceae.